UGGAACUGAAUCUACAUUCACCGCAUGAAAACAUGGACAAAGAUACACACAAAUGAAGAUGCCAUAUUGACACCAUCAACGUACAAAACAGCCACCGCAACUAAUCACAACUCCCACUAAUGGCACACAGUACAAAUCAGGUCCCCGAUUAUUUCGCCACCAGCAGCACGAACUCAUAUAGUAGUACAUCUCCGGCGCGGCGCACGCGGAUCACGGGGCCGGCACGCACGGCCCCGCAGCUUAUUGCUACCACCACACAGUGUGAGGCCGGCGUACUCGGUCUUACUCCGAGGCGGCGGCGCCAUCGGCGGGGCAGCGGUCGACGACGGCCUCGAGCUUGUAGGGCGCGGCGUCGGUGGCGAGCCACUGCUCGACGGUGAAGAGCUGCUGCGCGCAGCCGCGGUGUGGGCCGGUGACGGUGACCUCCACGUAGUUGCAGUACCAGCCGUGGUGCGCGCCGGUGCCGUCGGAGGAGACCCUCAUCCGGCAGGGCGCGGUGGCCAUGCACGGCCCGCGCCCGCUGAAGAUGUCCAGGUUGCCGCGCUCGAAGUAGGAGUGGCCCCCCCACAUGAGCCCGCCCCACGACGGCAGGUCCGAGAUGGCCACGCCGUCGGCGUUGCCCGCCGUGUAGAGCUCCAGAGUGAUGUUGGCGUCCGUCCCGGCCUUCCAGAUCGACCCCGUCCGCACGUACACCGUGUACACGCACUCCUGGCUGUCGCCGCCCACCGCGCCGCCGCCCUUGGUCAGCUGCGGAUCCGUCGAAGCCGGCAAACGAGAUGAGUACACGAGCAGAGUAGUAACCAUGUCAAGAGGAGAGGAUGGGAGGGGGAGGAUGGUGAGUCACCUUGAUCUGGGUCGGGAGGUCGCGGCCGUGGGCCAGCGUGGUGGCGGAGACGGCGACGGCGAAGGCGAGGAGGAGGGCGGCGAGCCGAGCCAUGGCUGGCGGACGGAUCCGAGUUUGAUCGUUCGUGUGGGGAUGUGUGAGAUUGCUGGGGGGAGUGGAUGGUAUAAAAUGGAAGUGGGUGAUGAGGCCG
RNAcentral lists this long non-coding RNA (1034 nucleotides) under Triticum aestivum (bread wheat). RNAcentral describes it as "long non-coding RNA (TAES_LNC010675)". The record is from RNAcentral. Lineage: Eukaryota; Viridiplantae; Streptophyta; Magnoliopsida; Poales; Poaceae.